This 393-nucleotide ribosomal RNA is filed under the name uncultured bacterium. Its description in RNAcentral is "partial 16S ribosomal RNA". It matches the Rfam family "Bacterial small subunit ribosomal RNA", at positions 523 to 918 of the family's 1533-position model. The record is from RNAcentral.
AUACGGAGGAUCCGAGCGUUAUCCGGAUUUAUUGGGUUUAAAGGGAGCGUAGGUGGACAGUUAAGUCAGUUGUGAAAGUUUGCGGCUCAACCGUAAAAUUGCAGUUGAUACUGGUUGUCUUGAGUACAGUAGAGGUGGGCGGAAUUCGUGGUGUAGCGGUGAAAUGCUUAGAUAUCACGAAGAACUCCGAUUGCGAAGGCAGCUCACUGGACUGCAACUGACACUGAUGCUCGAAAGUGUGGGUAUCAAACAGGAUUAGAUACCCUGGUAGUCCACACAGUAAACGAUGAAUACUCGCUGUUUGCGAUAUACAGUAAGCGGCCAAGCGAAAGCAUUAAGUAUUCCACCUGGGGAGUACGCCGGCAACGGUGAAACUCAAAGGAAUUGACGGGG